AUACCCGCUGAACUUAAGCAUAUCAAUAGGCCGGAGGAAA
RNAcentral lists this ribosomal RNA (40 nucleotides) under Pyricularia oryzae. Its description in RNAcentral is "partial 28S ribosomal RNA". Lineage: Eukaryota; Fungi; Ascomycota; Sordariomycetes; Magnaporthales; Pyriculariaceae. The record is from RNAcentral.